Rosa rugosa (rugosa rose) is the source of this 1044-nucleotide RNA transcript. RefSeq lists it as uncharacterized. The record is from RefSeq and is a predicted model, not a curated record. Lineage: Eukaryota; Viridiplantae; Streptophyta; Magnoliopsida; Rosales; Rosaceae. The transcript is spliced from 8 exons.
UAGCUCAAAAGCCCUAAACCUCUCGAGUCAUCUUACUAUACUUCACUUCAGCAGCAACACCCAAUUGCCUCAGUGCCGAUUGCUAUCGACCACCGCCAACAGUGUUUCCGUUGUUAUUACUACCAGUCAUCACAACCUCGUUUCCCAUUUGUGUCUUUGGCUCCUAGGUUUAACCUAUACAUCUGGUCAGUGUUUUGAUUGAUUACCAGGAGUGAAUCAGCGUUUUGAGGGGUGAAGUUUUUAAUUUAUUGUGGGGAAAAGCCAGAGAAAAUGCCACUCGGGCUAAUAAUGGGGCUAGGAAGGGCAUUUCGUCGAAAGCGAACGGCAUCCCUUGACAUUCUUUCCCCAAAACGAGCCCCAAGGAAUUUUUACAAGGGGAAGAACUGCAAGCCCACUGGUUUCCACACCCGAAAAGGGGGAUAUGUUGUGGUGCAGGACAAACUACCCAACUAUGUAGUCCCCGAUUUAACUGACUUCAAGCUCAAACCAUAUGUGUCUCAGUGCCCCAAAGAGGUCAAGACUGCAGAGUCAGCUGAAUCAACUAAAUAAGCAAAUGAGUGGGUACAAGACUAGUGGGUCUGUUCAAUGUAGACGUUCUUGCUUGGAGAAAAUCCCUGAUGGUCAGAUAGUAGCACAAUGUUUGUUCUGGAUGUCCAAAAAACUUCAGGACUGCUAUGGUUCGCUAUCCCCUUCCGGUCUUGCUUGAAGCCAUAGUACUGCGUUUGUUUUGAUAAAGUACAAAUUUGAGGAGAGGAAUAUCAAAAAAGAAAGCCUAUUGGAUAUGAGAUGGUCAACUUUUCGGCUUUCCUAGGUUCCGGAAAUGGUGGUUUGGCAUUGCAUAUGAGAUUCUGUUUUCAUGUCAGGCACUUAGUCUUGAAAUCAGUAUAUCGGCUGAAGAUGUAGAUUCACACUAUGAAAUAGGCAAAUUGCUAAAUGAUAUGUGUGCACAAUUCUCCUGACUGACUAACUGAAUACGGUGGCCUCAAAACCACCCAGUUUUGAGAGAUGAAAUCUUAUAGAAAGAGAGUGGUGUAUUGGCUCAGU